Camponotus floridanus (Florida carpenter ant) is the source of this 1928-nucleotide non-coding RNA. NCBI's taxonomy places the organism in Eukaryota, Metazoa, Arthropoda, Insecta, Hymenoptera, Formicidae. The record is from Rfam.
CCCCUGAGAGGACCUGAGUUAGAACCCGCAUAGUACUAACUACUACCAUGAAAGGCGUUGGUUGCUUAAGACAGCAGGACGGUGGCCAUGGAAGUCGGAAUCCGCUAAGGAGUGUGUAACAACUCACCUGCCGAAGCAACUAGCCCUGAAAAUGGAUGGCGCUGAAGCGUCGAGCCUAUACUCUGCCGUCAGCGGCAAGUGGGGCGGCGACGGGAGCGUUGCGCGCGUCGGACCGCGUUUGCGGCUCUCUCGCGAGGCAAUCGUCUCCCUCGAGUCGUCACGAAGCCCUGACGAGUAGGAGGGUCGCGACGGUGAGCGCAGAAGGGUCUGGGCGUGAGCCUGCCUGGAGCCGCCGUCGGUGCAGAUCUUGGUGGUAGUAGCAAAUACUCCAGCGAGGCCCUGGAGGACUGACGUGGAGAAGGGUUUCGUGUGAACAGCCGUUGCACACGAGUCAGUCGAUCCUAAGCCCUAGGAGAAAUCCUAUGUCAAUGACGGCGUACAAUAUACUCGAGUGUCGAAAACAAAGAUAUAUAUAUGUAUAUGUAAAGAGAAGAAAGAGAUAGAAACGCCGCCGCCGCCGCGCGCGCGCGCGUACUUCCUUUCAUUAUUGACACACAUAUAUUAUUAUUUACGAAUGUAUAUAAUGACACACGCCCGUCGGGCGAAAGGGAAUCCGGUUCCUAUUCCGGAACCCGGCAGCGGAACCGCAUACAAUUCGGGCCCUCGUAAGAGUGUUCGUCGGGGUAACCCAAAAUGACCUGGAGACGCCGUCGGGAGAUCCGGGAAGAGUUUUCUUUUCUGUAUAAGCGUUCGAGUUCCCUGGAAACCUCUAGCAGGGAGAUAGGGUUUGGAACGCGAAGAGCACCGCAGUUGCGGCGGUGUCCGGAUCUUCCCCUCGGACCUUGAAAAUCCAGGAGAGGGCCACGUGGAGGUGUCGCGCCGGUUCGUACCCAUAUCCGCAGCAGGUCUCCAAGGUAAAGAGCCUCUAGUCGAUAGAAUAAUGUAGGUAAGGGAAGUCGGCAAAUUGGAUCCGUAACUUCGGAAUAAGGAUUGGCUCUGAGGAGCGGGGCGUGUCGGGCUUGGUCGGGAAGCGGGUCUGGCUGACGUGCCGGGCCUGGGCGAGGUGAACGGUCGGCGUUCUCGCGCGCCGGUCCCGGGAUCUGAGUUCGGUCCCGUGCCUUGGCCCGCGGAUCUUCCUUGCUGCGAGGCUUCCGUGGCGGCGCGAGCCGUCGUGGUCGUGGUCGUCCUUCGGCCGCCAUUCAACGCUCAGCUCAGGACUGGCACGGACUGGUGGGGAAAAUCCGACUGUCUAAUUAAACAAAGCAUUGCGAUGGCCCUCGCUUGUGGUGACGCAAUGUGAUUUCUGCCCAGUGUCUUGAAUGUCAACGUGAAGAAAUUCAAGCAAGCGCGGGUAAACGGCGGGAGUAACUGUGACUCUCUUAAGGGAGUAGUUGCUGGGUGACGAUAUGCGCAAUACAUAGCCUCUACGUCACCCGUCGAUGGCCCACCUCCUCGUGGUGCCCGCUGGAAACGUUGCGUUUGCAACGGCUAAGUGGCCAUCGACACUCUAUGCUCGCAGUGCUACCGAACAACAGGUAGUGCAUGCGUGCCAUGGUAGCGAGCAUAGUAGAGUAUAAUAUUGGCGUAUACUGGUAUGCUACCAGUAAGAGGUGACUAAUCCUUAUAGUGAGGUUAGGUCGAUUAUAGACGGUAGUCCUUACUUUCAAAUUGGUGACGACUUGGCAAGUUUUAGGCAAUGAGUGGGACGCUUCACGGGAUUAGUUUAUUUUGAUAAAUAUAAAAUUUAAUUUGAUAAAUGUUAAGUGAAGAUGAAGAAGCCUCGGACGCAGGAGCUCCUGGUCUCGGGACUCCUGUGGCGGAAAUAUCCGCUAUGGACAGGGAGACCACUAAUGACGGCAAUGGCAUGA